This 253-nucleotide ribosomal RNA is filed under the name uncultured bacterium. Its description in RNAcentral is "partial 16S ribosomal RNA". It matches the Rfam family "Bacterial small subunit ribosomal RNA", at positions 524 to 776 of the family's 1533-position model. The record is from RNAcentral.
UACGUAGGGGGCUAGCGUUGUCCGGAAUCAUUGGGCGUAAAGAGCGCGUAGGCGGCCCGGUAAGUCCGCUGUAAAAGUCAAAGGCUCAACCUUUGAAUGUCAGUGGAUACUGGCGGGCUAGAGUCCGGAAGAGGCGAGUGGAACUCCUGGUGUAGCGGUGGAAUGCGCAGAUAUCAGGAAGAACACCAACGGCGAAGGCAGCUCGCUGGGACGGUACUGACGCUGAGACGCGAAAGCGUGGGGAGCGAACAGG